This is a non-coding RNA of Podarcis lilfordi (Lilford's wall lizard), 67 nucleotides long. The record is from the annotation of a GenBank genome assembly. NCBI's taxonomy places the organism in Eukaryota, Metazoa, Chordata, Lepidosauria, Squamata, Lacertidae.
GAUGGGCUACUGGUAGAACAUGAGACUCUUAAUCUCAAGAUCAUGGGUUUGAGCCCCAUGUUGGGCA